UGGGGAAUAUUGCACAAUGGGCGAAAGCCUGAUGCAGCGACGCCGCGUGAGGGAUGACGGCCUUCGGGUUGUAAACCUCUUUCGACAGGGACGAAGCGCAAGUGACGGUACCUGUAGAAGAAGCACCGGCCAACUACGUGCCAGCAGCCGCGGUAAUACGUAGGGUGCGAGCGUUGUCCGGAAUUACUGGGCGUAAAGAGCUUGUAGGCGGUCUGUCGCGUCGUCCGUGAAAACUUGGGGCUCAACCCCAAGCUUGCGGGCGAUACGGGCAGACUUGAGUACUUCAGGGGAGACUGGAAUUCCUGGUGUAGCGGUGAAAUGCGCAGAUAUCAGGAGGAACACCGGUGGCGAAGGCGGGUCUCUGGGAAGUAACUGACGCUGAGAAGCGAAAGCGUGGGUAGCAAACAG
Molecule: ribosomal RNA, 408 nt
Filed under: uncultured bacterium
Lineage: Bacteria
Description: bacterial SSU rRNA
Rfam family: Bacterial small subunit ribosomal RNA
Source: RNAcentral